This 235-nucleotide ribosomal RNA is filed under the name uncultured bacterium. RNAcentral describes it as "partial 16S ribosomal RNA". It matches the Rfam family "Bacterial small subunit ribosomal RNA", at positions 96 to 334 of the family's 1533-position model. The record is from RNAcentral.
UGGCGGACGGGUGAGUAAUGUCUGGGAAACUGCCCGAUGGAGGGGGAUAACUACUGGAAACGGUAGCUAAUACCGCAUAACGUCGUAAGACCAAAGAGGGGGACCUUCGGGCCUCUUGCCAUCGGAUGUGCCCAGAUGGGAUUAGCUAGUAGGUGGGGUAACGGCUCACCUAGGCGACGAUCCCUAGCUGGUCUGAGAGGAUGACCAGCCACACUGGAACUGAGACACGGUCCAG